RNAcentral lists this ribosomal RNA (253 nucleotides) under uncultured bacterium. Its description in RNAcentral is "partial 16S ribosomal RNA". It matches the Rfam family "Bacterial small subunit ribosomal RNA", at positions 524 to 776 of the family's 1533-position model. The record is from RNAcentral.
CACGUAGGGCGCGAGCGUUGUCCGGAAUUAUUGGGCGUAAAGAGCUCGUAGGCGGCCUGUUGCAUCCGCUGUGAAAGCCCGGGGCUUAACCCCGGGUCUGCAGUGGAUACGGGCAGGCUAGAGGUAGGUAGGGGAGAAUGGAAUUCCCGGUGUAGCGGUGAAAUGCGCAGAUAUCGGGAGGAACACCGGUGGCGAAGGCGGUUCUCUGGGCCUUACCUGACGCUGAGGAGCGAAAGCGUGGGGAGCGAACAGG